AGAGUUUGAUCAUGGCUCAGAUUGAACGCUGGCGGCAGGCCUAACACAUGCAAGUCGAGCGGUAACACAGAGAGCUUGCUCUCGGGUGACGAGCGGCGGACGGGUGAGUAAUGUCUGGGAAACUGCCUGAUGGAGGGGGAUAACUACUGGAAACGGUAGCUAAUACCGCAUAACGUCGCAAGACCAAAGUGGGGGACCUUCGGGCCUCAUGCCAUCAGAUGUGCCCAGAUGGGAUUAGCUAGUAGGUGGGGUAAUGGCUCACCUAGGCGACGAUCCCUAGCUGGUCUGAGAGGAUGACCAGCCACACUGGAACUGAGACACGGUCCAGACUCCUACGGGAGGCAGCAGUGGGGAAUAUUGCACAAUGGGCGCAAGCCUGAUGCAGCCAUGCCGCGUGUAUGAAGAAGGCCUUCGGGUUGUAAAGUACUUUCAGCGAGGAGGAAGGCGUUAAGGUUAAUAACCUUGGCGAUUGACGUUACUCGCAGAAGAAGCACCGGCUAACUCCGUGCCAGCAGCCGCGGUAAUACGGAGGGUGCAAGCGUUAAUCGGAAUUACUGGGCGUAAAGCGCACGCAGGCGGUCUGUCAAGUCGGAUGUGAAAUCCCCGGGCUCAACCUGGGAACUGCAUUCGAAACUGGCAGGCUAGAGUCUUGUAGAGGGGGGUAGAAUUCCAGGUGUAGCGGUGAAAUGCGUAGAGAUCUGGAGGAAUACCGGUGGCGAAGGCGGCCCCCUGGACAAAGACUGACGCUCAGGUGCGAAAGCGUGGGGAGCAAACAGGAUUAGAUACCCUGGUAGUCCACGCCGUAAACGAUGUCGACUUGGAGGUUGUGCCCUUGAGGCGUGGCUUCCGGAGCUAACGCGUUAAGUCGACCGCCUGGGGAGUACGGCCGCAAGGUUAAAACUCAAAUGAAUUGACGGGGGCCCGCACAAGCGGUGGAGCAUGUGGUUUAAUUCGAUGCAACGCGAAGAACCUUACCUACUCUUGACAUCCAGAGAACUUAGCAGAGAUGCUUUGGUGCCUUCGGGAACUCUGAGACAGGUGCUGCAUGGCUGUCGUCAGCUCGUGUUGUGAAAUGUUGGGUUAAGUCCCGCAACGAGCGCAACCCUUAUCCUUUGUUGCCAGCGGUUCGGCCGGGAACUCAAAGGAGACUGCCAGUGAUAAACUGGAGGAAGGUGGGGAUGACGUCAAGUCAUCAUGGCCCUUACGAGUAGGGCUACACACGUGCUACAAUGGCAUAUACAAAGAGAAGCGACCUCGCGAGAGCAAGCGGACCUCAUAAAGUAUGUCGUAGUCCGGAUUGGAGUCUGCAACUCGACUCCAUGAAGUCGGAAUCGCUAGUAAUCGUAGAUCAGAAUGCUACGGUGAAUACGUUCCCGGGCCUUGUACACACCGCCCGUCACACCAUGGGAGUGGGUUGCAAAAGAAGUAGGUAGCUUAACCUUCGGGAGGGCGCUUACCACUUUGUGAUUCAUGACUGGGGUGAAGUCGUAACAAGGUAACCGUAGGGGAACCUGCGGUUGGAUCACCU
RNAcentral lists this ribosomal RNA (1528 nucleotides) under Klebsiella aerogenes MGH 77. Its description in RNAcentral is "bacterial SSU rRNA". It matches the Rfam family "Bacterial small subunit ribosomal RNA". Lineage: Bacteria; Pseudomonadati; Pseudomonadota; Gammaproteobacteria; Enterobacterales; Enterobacteriaceae. The record is from RNAcentral.